This 371-nucleotide ribosomal RNA is filed under the name uncultured Bacteroidota bacterium. RNAcentral's name for it is "bacterial SSU rRNA". It matches the Rfam family "Bacterial small subunit ribosomal RNA", at positions 22 to 392 of the family's 1533-position model. The record is from RNAcentral. Lineage: Bacteria; Pseudomonadati; Bacteroidota.
GCUCAGGAUGAACGCUAGCUACAGGCUUAACACGUGCAAGUCGAGGGGUAGCAGGGUAGCAAUACCGCUGACGACCGGCGCACGGGUGAGUAACACGUAUCCAACCUUCCCAUAACUCGGGGAUAGCCUUUCGAAAGAAAGAUUAAUACCCGAUAGUACUUAUAUAAGGCAUCUUAAAUAAGUUAAAGAUUUAUUGGUUAUGGAUGGGGAUGCGUUCCAUUAGAUAGUUGGUGAGGUAACGGCUCACCAAGUCUUCGAUGGAUAGGGGUUCUGAGAGGAAGGUCCCCCACAUUGGUACUGAGACACGGACCAAACUCCUACGGGAGGCAGCAGUGAGGAAUAUUGGUCAAUGGGCGAGAGCCUGAACCAGC